RNAcentral lists this ribosomal RNA (846 nucleotides) under Staphylococcus hominis. Its description in RNAcentral is "bacterial SSU rRNA". It matches the Rfam family "Bacterial small subunit ribosomal RNA", at positions 41 to 869 of the family's 1533-position model. Lineage: Bacteria; Bacillati; Bacillota; Bacilli; Caryophanales; Staphylococcaceae. The record is from RNAcentral.
GGCGUGCUAAUACAUGCAAGUCGAGCGAACAGACGAGGAGCUUGCUCCUUUGACGUUAGCGGCGGACGGGUGAGUAACACGUGGGUAACCUACCUAUAAGACUGGGAUAACUUCGGGAAACCGGAGCUAAUACCGGAUAAUAUUUCGAACCGCAUGGUUCGAUAGUGAAAGAUGGCUCUGCUAUCACUUAUAGAUGGACCUGCGCCGUAUUAGCUAGUUGGUAAGGUAACGGCUUACCAAGGCAACGAUACGUAGCCGACCUGAGAGGGUGAUCGGCCACACUGGAACUGAGACACGGUCCAGACUCCUACGGGAGGCAGCAGUAGGGAAUCUUCCGCAAUGGGCGAAAGCCUGACGGAGCAACGCCGCGUGAGUGAUGAAGGUCUUCGGAUCGUAAAACUCUGUUAUUAGGGAAGAACAAACGUGUAAGUAACUGUGCACGUCUUGACGGUACCUAAUCAGAAAGCCACGGCUAACUACGUGCCAGCAGCCGCGGUAAUACGUAGGUGGCAAGCGUUAUCCGGAAUUAUUGGGCGUAAAGCGCGCGUAGGCGGUUUUUUAAGUCUGAUGUGAAAGCCCACGGCUCAACCGUGGAGGGUCAUUGGAAACUGGAAAACUUGAGUGCAGAAGAGGAAAGUGGAAUUCCAUGUGUAGCGGUGAAAUGCGCAGAGAUAUGGAGGAACACCAGUGGCGAAGGCGACUUUCUGGUCUGUAACUGACGCUGAUGUGCGAAAGCGUGGGGAUCAAACAGGAUUAGAUACCCUGGUAGUCCACGCCGUAAACGAUGAGUGCUAAGUGUUAGGGGGUUUCCGCCCCUUAGUGCUGCAGCUAACGCAUUAAGCACUC